Molecule: ribosomal RNA, 274 nt
Filed under: uncultured bacterium
Lineage: Bacteria
Description: partial 16S ribosomal RNA
Rfam family: Bacterial small subunit ribosomal RNA
Source: RNAcentral
AGACGGGGGGGGCGAGCGUUGUUCGGAAUUACUGGGCGUAAAGGGCGCGCAGGCGGCCUGGGAAGUCUUGGGUGAAAGCCCCCAGCUCAACUGGGGAAUGGCCUGAGAAACCACUAGGCUGGAGUGCUGGAGAGGGAAGCGGAAUUCCCGGUGGAGCGGUGAAAUGCGUAGAUAUCGGGAGGAACACCAGAGGCGAAGGCGGCUUCCUGGACAGACACUGACGCUGAGGCGCGAAAGCUAGGGGAGCAAACGGGAUUAGAAACCCGGGUAGUCC